Dethiobacter alkaliphilus AHT 1 is the source of this 78-nucleotide non-coding RNA. The record is from Rfam. NCBI's taxonomy places the organism in Bacteria, Bacillati, Bacillota, Dethiobacteria, Dethiobacterales, Dethiobacteraceae.
AAAUCGGUUGAAAUAAGAUUUGUCGUGAGGAGUCAGAUGAAACCGUAGUAGCAGUACAUCGACAGUACUGUGAAGGGU